RNAcentral lists this ribosomal RNA (1953 nucleotides) under human oral metagenome. Its description in RNAcentral is "bacterial LSU rRNA". It matches the Rfam family "Bacterial large subunit ribosomal RNA", at positions 1 to 1980 of the family's 2925-position model. The record is from RNAcentral.
UUAAAUUAGUAAGAGCGUACGGUGGAUGUCUUGGCAUAUAGAGCAGAAGAAGGACGCAGAUAACGGCGAAACGCCUCGGGGAGUCGUACACAGGCAACGAUCCGGGGGUAUCCGAAUGGGGAAACCCGAUAAAGUUGAAAAGCUUUAUCAUCCUUAAGCCAAUACAUAACUUAAGAGAAGGCAACCCAGGGAAUUGAAACAUCUUAGUACCUGGAGGAGAAGAAAAUAACAAUGAUUCCGAGAGUAGUGGCGAGCGAAAUCGGAGCAGCCCAAACCAGCAAUGAGCUGGGGUAGUAGGACCACGACAAGUGAUUGAAAAGAGAUAGUCGAAUGGCAUUGAAAGGUCAGCCGCAGAAGGUGCAAGCCCUGUAGGCGAAAUCUCGAUUCACGCGAGUGGGAUCCUGAGUACGUCGGAGCACGUGAAACUCUGACGGAAUCAACCGGGACCAUCCGGUAAGGCUAAAUACUCCUAUAUGACCGAUAGUGAACCAGUACCAUGAGGGAAAGAUGAAAAGAACCGCGGGAGCGGAGUGAAAUAGAUCCUGAAACCGUAUGCUUACAAAAAGUCAGAGCACAUUAAGGUGUGAUGGCGUGCCUUUUGUAGAAUGAACCGGCGAGUUAUCUUUGCAUGCGAGGUUAAGCAGACAAUGCGGAGCCGUAGCGAAAGCGAAUCUUAAUAGGGUGGCAAGUAUGUAGAGAUAGACCCGAAGCCGUAGUGAUCUAGUCAUGAGCAGGUUGAAGGCUGGGUGAAUCCAGCUGGAGGACCGAACCGACCCCCGUUGAAAAGUUGGCGGAUGACUUGUGAUUAGCGGAGAAAUUCCAAUCGAACACGGCGAUAGCUGGUUCUCCCCGAAAUAGCUUUAGGGCUAGCGUUGAACGAAUCUACCCGGAGGUAGAGCACUGAAAUCAUGCGGGCGGCAUCUCGCCGUACCAAAUGAUAUCAAACUCCGAAUGCCGGGCAAGAAUAUUCAGCAGUCAGACUGUGGGUGAUAAGGUCCAUGGUCAAAAGGGAAACAGCCCAGAUCAUCAGAUAAGGUCCCAAAAUUUACGCUAAGUGGAAAAGGAUGUGGAGACGCGCAAACAGCUAGGAGGUUGGCUCAGAAGCAGCCAUCCUUCAAAGAGUGCGUAACAGCUCACUAGUCGAGUAUCUCUGCGCCGAAAAUUAACCGGGGCUAAGCGUAAUACCGAAUCUAUGGAUUUAUACUUAGGUAUAAGUGGUAGGGGAGCGUUCCAUACAGCAUUGAAGGUAUACCGUAAGGAGUGCUGGAGCGUAUGGAAGUGAGAAUGCCGGUGUGAGUAGCGAGAUGUGGGUGAGAAUCCCACACACCGAAAAACCAAGGUUUCCAGGGGAAGGUUCGUCCGCCCUGGGUAAGUCGGGACCUAAGGCCAGGCCGAAAGGCGUAGUCGAUGGACAGCAGGUUGAUAUUCCUGCACCCGCGAGUAAAGUGAUGGAGUGACAGAUAGGGUUAACCCAAGUCCUAAAUGGAUUGGGCAAGGCAAGCAGGAGAGUGGCGUAGGCAAAUCCGCGCCGGAUACUCAAAGGCUUGACUCAAGCGAACGCGCGAGCAAGUAGUGAAGAGGGUGAUACCAGGUCUCAAGAAAAGCUUCUAGCGAUAAUUUACUAGCGGCCCGUACCAAAACCGACACAGGUGGUUGAGGCGAGUAGCCUAAGGUGAGCGAGAGAACUGUUGCCAAGGAACUCGGCAAAUUGACCCCGUACGUUAGCAAUAAGGGGUGCUCGAAAGAGCCGCAGUGAAUAGGCCCUAGCAACUGUUUAACUAAAACAUAGCUCUCUGCGAAGUCGCAAGACGAAGUAUAGGGGGUGACACCUGCCCGGUGCUGGAAGGUCAAGGGGAUUUGUCAGACGCAAGUCGAAGCAUUGAACCGAAGCCCCAGUGAACGGCGGCCGUAACUAUAACGGUCCUAAGGUAGCGAAAUUCCUUGUCAGGUAAG